GGGUUGUGAGGUUAAGCGACUAAGCGUACACGGUGGAUGCCCUGGCAGUCAGAGGCGAUGAAGGACGUGCUAAUCUGCGAUAAGCGUCGGUAAGGUGAUAUGAACCGUUAUAACCGGCGAUUUCCGAAUGGGGAAACCCAGUGUGUUUCGACACACUAUCAUUAACUGAAUCCAUAGGUUAAUGAGGCGAACCGGGGGAACUGAAACAUCUAAGUACCCCGAGGAAAAGAAAUCAACCGAGAUUCCCCCAGUAGCGGCGAGCGAACGGGGAGGAGCCCAGAGCCUGAAUCAGUGUGUGUGUUAGUGGAAGCGUCUGGAAAGGCGCGCGAUACAGGGUGACAGCCCCGUACACAAAAAUGCACAUGCUGUGAGCUCGAUGAGUAGGGCGGGACACGUGGUAUCCUGUCUGAAUAUGGGGGGACCAUCCUCCAAGGCUAAAUACUCCUGACUGACCGAUAGUGAACCAGUACCGUGAGGGAAAGGCGAAAAGAACCCCGGCGAGGGGAGUGAAAAAGAACCUGAAACCGUGUACGUACAAGCAGUGGGAGCCUCUUUUAUGGGGUGACUGCGUACCUUUUGUAUAAUGGGUCAGCGACUUAUAUUCUGUAGCAAGGUUAACCGAAUAGGGGAGCCGAAGGGAAACCGAGUCUUAACUGGGCGUUAAGUUGCAGGGUAUAGACCCGAAACCCGGUGAUCUAGCCAUGGGCAGGUUGAAGGUUGGGUAACACUAACUGGAGGACCGAACCGACUAAUGUUGAAAAAUUAGCGGAUGACUUGUGGCUGGGGGUGAAAGGCCAAUCAAACCGGGAGAUAGCUGGUUCUCCCCGAAAGCUAUUUAGGUAGCGCCUCGUGAAUUCAUCUCCGGGGGUAGAGCACUGUUUCGGCAAGGGGGUCAUCCCGACUUACCAACCCGAUGCAAACUGCGAAUACCGGAGAAUGUUAUCACGGGAGACACACGGCGGGUGCUAACGUCCGUCGUGAAGAGGGAAACAACCCAGACCGCCAGCUAAGGUCCCAAAGUCAUGGUUAAGUGGGAAACGAUGUGGGAAGGCCCAGACAGCCAGGAUGUUGGCUUAGAAGCAGCCAUCAUUUAAAGAAAGCGUAAUAGCUCACUGGUCGAGUCGGCCUGCGCGGAAGAUGUAACGGGGCUAAACCAUGCACCGAAGCUGCGGCAGCGACGCUUAUGCGUUGUUGGGUAGGGGAGCGUUCUGUAAGCCUGCGAAGGUGUACUGUGAGGUAUGCUGGAGGUAUCAGAAGUGCGAAUGCUGACAUAAGUAACGAUAAAGCGGGUGAAAAGCCCGCUCGCCGGAAGACCAAGGGUUCCUGUCCAACGUUAAUCGGGGCAGGGUGAGUCGACCCCUAAGGCGAGGCCGAAAGGCGUAGUCGAUGGGAAACAGGUUAAUAUUCCUGUACUUGGUGUUACUGCGAAGGGGGACGGAGAAGGCUAUGUUGGCCGGGCGACGGUUGUCCCGGUUUAAGCGUGUAGGCUGGUUUUCCAGGCAAAUCCGGAAAAUCAAGGCUGAGGCGUGAUGACGAGGCACUACGGUGCUGAAGCAACAAAUGCCCUGCUUCCAGGAAAAGCCUCUAAGCAUCAGGUAACAUCAAAUCGUACCCCAAACCGACACAGGUGGUCAGGUAGAGAAUACCAAGGCGCUUGAGAGAACUCGGGUGAAGGAACUAGGCAAAAUGGUGCCGUAACUUCGGGAGAAGGCACGCUGAUAUGUAGGUGAAGUCCCUCGCGGAUGGAGCUGAAAUCAGUCGAAGAUACCAGCUGGCUGCAACUGUUUAUUAAAAACACAGCACUGUGCAAACACGAAAGUGGACGUAUACGGUGUGACGCCUGCCCGGUGCCGGAAGGUUAAUUGAUGGGGUUAGCGCAAGCGAAGCUCUUGAUCGAAGCCCCGGUAAACGGCGGCCGUAACUAUAACGGUCCUAAGGUAGCGAAAUUCCUUGUCGGGUAAGUUCCGACCUGCACGAAUGGCGUAAUGAUGGCCAGGCUGUCUCCACCCGAGACUCAGUGAAAUUGAACUCGCUGUGAAGAUGCAGUGUACCCGCGGCAAGACGGAAAGACCCCGUGAACCUUUACUAUAGCUUGACACUGAACAUUGAGCCUUGAUGUGUAGGAUAGGUGGGAGGCUUAGAAGUGUGGACGCCAGUCUGCAUGGAGCCGACCUUGAAAUACCACCCUUUAAUGUUUGAUGUUCUAACGUUGACCCGUAAUCCGGGUUGCGGACAGUGUCUGGUGGGUAGUUUGACUGGGGCGGUCUCCUCCUAAAGAGUAACGGAGGAGCACGAAGGUUGGCUAAUCCUGGUCGGACAUCAGGAGGUUAGUGCAAUGGCAUAAGCCAGCUUGACUGCGAGCGUGACGGCGCGAGCAGGUGCGAAAGCAGGUCAUAGUGAUCCGGUGGUUCUGAAUGGAAGGGCCAUCGCUCAACGGAUAAAAGGUACUCCGGGGAUAACAGGCUGAUACCGCCCAAGAGUUCAUAUCGACGGCGGUGUUUGGCACCUCGAUGUCGGCUCAUCACAUCCUGGGGCUGAAGUAGGUCCCAAGGGUAUGGCUGUUCGCCAUUUAAAGUGGUACGCGAGCUGGGUUUAGAACGUCGUGAGACAGUUCGGUCCCUAUCUGCCGUGGGCGCUGGAGAACUGAGGGGGGCUGCUCCUAGUACGAGAGGACCGGAGUGGACGCAUCACUGGUGUUCGGGUUGUCAUGCCAAUGGCACUGCCCGGUAGCUAAAUGCGGAAGAGAUAAGUGCUGAAAGCAUCUAAGCACGAAACUUGCCCCGAGAUGAGUUCUCCCUGACUCCUUGAGAGUCCUGAAGGAACGUUGAAGACGACGACGUUGAUAGGCCGGGUGUGUAAGCGCAGCGAUGCGUUGAGCUAACCGGUACUAAUGAACCGUGAGGCUUAACCUUACAACGCCGAAG
Molecule: ribosomal RNA, 2924 nt
Filed under: Escherichia coli
Lineage: Bacteria; Pseudomonadati; Pseudomonadota; Gammaproteobacteria; Enterobacterales; Enterobacteriaceae
Description: bacterial LSU rRNA
Rfam family: Bacterial large subunit ribosomal RNA
Source: RNAcentral